Molecule: non-coding RNA, 529 nt
Organism: Doryrhamphus excisus (bluestripe pipefish)
Lineage: Eukaryota; Metazoa; Chordata; Actinopteri; Syngnathiformes; Syngnathidae
Source: RefSeq, a predicted model, not a curated record
CCAAGAUUGCUCACCUGGUCUCCAGGUUUUCCAGCCUCUCCCGGGGAACCAGAUGGUCCAGGAAGACCCUGUUUGACAAAAAGUUUGGUCAUUUAUCUGCAGGUCCCUGAGAUAGAACAUAAAAAUGUUACAUCGAAGAACUCAAGUGAGGUCAUCUUGGUGAGCGUAGAACGAGACUUACAGCAGGGCCAGGUGGUCCAGCAGAUCCGGUCUCACCAUCUUUUCCAGGUUUCAUUGGAGAAAGAGAACUUACUCUCAGACCAGUACGACCCAGAAGACCUUUCUCUCCAGCCUUUCCAGGCUCACCCUGUUGAGCAGAAACCAAUCAGCUAUGGACUCCAUCCAUAAAGAUUCGCCAAACUAUGUCCUAACUAUCAUACAUUAGCUCCUUUUGGUCCGGGGAAUCCCAUCACUCCUGGCUGUCCUCUGGCUCCCUGAGGACCGGGUGGGCCGGGGCGACCAUCCUCACCAGCGGCACCCUAUAAUGCACAAAAAAAAAUACCACUCUAAAUAUUGUUGCUUUAAAGCA